This 267-nucleotide unclassified non-coding RNA is filed under the name Stereum ostrea. RNAcentral's name for it is "partial internal transcribed spacer region". The stretch from base 1 to 46 matches the Rfam family "Eukaryotic small subunit ribosomal RNA", at positions 1786 to 1831 of the family's 1831-position model. Lineage: Eukaryota; Fungi; Basidiomycota; Agaricomycetes; Russulales; Stereaceae. The record is from RNAcentral.
AAGUCGUAACAAGGUUUCCGUAGGUGAACCUGCGGAAGGAUCAUUAAUGAAAUUAUGACUGGGGUUGUAGCUGGCCUAUAAAACGGCAUGUGCACGCUCCUUUCACAAUCCACACACACCUGUGCACCUUCGCGGGGGUCUUUUUUUCUCUUCGGGGGGAAUAAAGGCUCGCGUCCCUUUACACACCCUUUGUAUGUCUUAAGAAUGUCUACUCGAUGUAAUAAAACGCAUCUAAUACAACUUUCAACAACGGAUCUCUUGGCUCUC